GACGAACGCUGGCGGCGUGCUUAACACAUGCAAGUCGUACGGGCUUGAGGGGCAACUCUCGAGUCAGUGGCGAACGGGUGCGUAACACGUGAGCAACUUGCCCUAUGGUGGGGGAUAGCCGGCCCAACGGCCGGGUAAUACCGCAUAUGGCGCCGAGGUCGCAUGGCCUUGGUGGGAAAGCGGCCGCAAGGUCGCGCCAGAGGUGGGGCUCGCGACGUAUCAGCUUGUUGGCGGGGUAACGGCCCACCAAGGCUACGACGCGUAGCUGGU
This 270-nucleotide ribosomal RNA is filed under the name uncultured bacterium. RNAcentral's name for it is "partial 16S ribosomal RNA". It matches the Rfam family "Bacterial small subunit ribosomal RNA", at positions 28 to 291 of the family's 1533-position model. The record is from RNAcentral.